AGUCCCGUGGUCUAGUGGUUAAGAUUUCGCUCUUAUACCUUUAAGUCGUUUCACGGCUAACGGUCAUGAUCAAUGCGGAUACCCGGGUUCAAACCCCGGCGGGACUA
Podospora anserina is the source of this 107-nucleotide transfer RNA. It matches the Rfam family "tRNA". Rfam says of the family: Transfer RNA (tRNA) molecules are approximately 80 nucleotides in length. Their secondary structure includes four short double-helical elements and three loops (D, anti-codon, and T loops). Further hydrogen bonds mediate the characteristic L-shaped molecular structure. tRNAs have two regions of fundamental functional importance: the anti-codon, which is responsible for specific mRNA codon recognition, and the 3' end, to which the tRNAs corresponding amino acid is attached (by aminoacyl-tRNA synthetases). tRNAs cope with the degeneracy of the genetic code in two manners: having more than one tRNA (with a specific anti-codon) for a particular amino acid; and 'wobble' base-pairing, i.e. permitting non-standard base-pairing at the 3rd anti-codon position. NCBI's taxonomy places the organism in Eukaryota, Fungi, Ascomycota, Sordariomycetes, Sordariales, Podosporaceae. The record is from Rfam.